GAGUUUGAUCAUGGCUCAGGACGAACGCUGGCGGCGUGCUUAACACAUGCAAGUCGAACGGGGUGCCUAUGAAAGAGAUUUCGGUCAAUGGAUUAGGUUACUUAGUGGCGGACGGGUGAGUAACGCGUGAGGAACCUGCCUUUCAGAGGGGGACAACAGCUGGAAACGGCUGCUAAUACCGCAUGACACAUAUUUAUCGCAUGGUAGAUAUGUCAAAGAUUUAUCGCUGAGAGAUGGCCUCGCGUCUGAUUAGCUAGUUGGUAGGGUAACGGCCUACCAAGGCGACGAUCAGUAGCCGGACUGAGAGGUUGGCCGGCCACAUUGGGACUGAGAUACGGCCCAGACUCCUACGGGAGGCAGCAGUGGGGAAUAUUGGGCAAUGGGCGCAAGCCUGACCCAGCAACGCCGCGUGAAGGAAGAAGGCUUUCGGGUUGUAAACUUCUUUAAGUAGGAAGAGCAGAAGACGGUACCUCUUGAAUAAGCCACGGCUAACUACGUGCCAGCCGCCGCAGU
This 513-nucleotide ribosomal RNA is filed under the name uncultured microorganism. RNAcentral describes it as "bacterial SSU rRNA". It matches the Rfam family "Bacterial small subunit ribosomal RNA", at positions 9 to 521 of the family's 1533-position model. The record is from RNAcentral.